Misgurnus anguillicaudatus (oriental weatherfish) is the source of this 1072-nucleotide long non-coding RNA. RefSeq lists it as uncharacterized. NCBI's taxonomy places the organism in Eukaryota, Metazoa, Chordata, Actinopteri, Cypriniformes, Cobitidae. The record is from RefSeq and is a predicted model, not a curated record.
CAUUAUGUACCAACCACCACACCACAGAAUUACACUACUAACUUAAAGCUGCGGUCGGCAACUCUGGAGGAUUGAGCCGUUUCCAAAUGUUUACAAUUUCAUGUCCCUCCCCCACUACCGCAGAGCCACCUCCCUUCGUGCUCGUUCUCGUCAUUGCGUGUGAACCAGUAUUAUUGUGAACGCGCCCGGCCCGUCUCAUCAGCAUCGAUGAACACUAUGGAGUACUCGGAGAGUUUUGAAAGCGAGGCACAAGUCUCGGAUGAAGAGUAUGUCCCCGCGGCCGUUUCUACACUCCAGUGUACGGAUCAAGGCAAUAGCCAUAGCCGCAGAGGUGCUGCUGGAGGUAGCGCUGGACCAGGCAGACGGCGACGAUUGAGAUAUAACCAAGCAAACCUGGACAAGGAGGACGUGGCUCGGGUCAAUCUUUUGCGAUCGCAAAGAAUAGAAUUUUAACAUGCUCAAAUUCAACGACUGACCCCAGGGCAGGCACAACAAGUGUUGGAGAGGUGCUUGACACGGUACCCCAGCCUCAUAUUUGAUGUGAUGGGCCAAUUACCUGCUGCCCCUCACCCUUUUCCUCCAGUCUCUGGGCAACCAACUUGGUGCAUCUGCAGCAGGUGCAGAGCAAUGGCCACGCUUGUAGAGAUGAAAUGCUGCAACCAACAGCCCGACAUGUGUGUCUCCACAUUACCUCAAAUGGAGCAAUAUAUUUUGCAGGAGGGGGUGUUGCGCCUGGCCCGAACCAUUUGGAAUGACCUCCGUGCAGUUGCAGAUGUCCCAGAGGAGGGCGAAGAUAACCGUCAGUUCCGCCAUGCUGCUUACAGGCAGUAUGUUGCUUGGCAGUGUGGGACUCUGGGUGCUGGGAAUAGGGUGGUGAUUCCAAGCUGCGUUGUGUGGGCCAUAAGGGAUCGUUUCCCAGACCCUAAUGGCCAGUACAGGGGAUUUAUUCCUAGACAGGCCUAGCUGCUCAAACUUUUUUAAAUUGGGAUAUGUGCAGUUAUGUAUAUAGUUCUUCUGUGUGACCAAAUAAAGUUUUACUUUAGGAAAUGUUAUCUGUGUAAAUGAUUACUAA